RNAcentral lists this ribosomal RNA (265 nucleotides) under uncultured bacterium. Its description in RNAcentral is "partial 16S ribosomal RNA". It matches the Rfam family "Bacterial small subunit ribosomal RNA", at positions 89 to 353 of the family's 1533-position model. The record is from RNAcentral.
UGGCGACCGGCGCACGGGUGAGUGACACGUAUCCAACCUGCCGAUGACUCGGGGAUAGCCUUUCGAAAGAAAGAUUAAUACCCGAUGGCAUAGUUCUUCCGCAUGGUAGAACUAUUAAAGAAUUUCGGUCAUCGAUGGGGAUGCGUUCCAUUAGGUUGUUGGCGGGGUAACGGCCCACCAAGCCUUCGAUGGAUAGGGGUUCUGAGAGGAAGGUCCCCCACAUUGGAACUGAGACACGGCCCAGACUCCUACGGGAGGCAGCAUG